AAAAGAAUUGCAGGAAGUUUCAAUCAAAUGUUCUAGACAUUUUAUAGAAAUGAAAGUAAUUUAAGAUGCCAUUGUUGCGCUAAUCAGGCUAUUCUGGUGUGGGCCUCGUCAUUUUGAACUGCGGUCAGAUGAUGAGGACGACACCUGAGCUAACACCCUCCUCUCCAAACUAUCUCAUCACACUAGCGGGAGGACGUUUGGCCUAGAUGGAUUUAACUUGCAUCAGACCCACUUACACAACGGUUUUUCGGUGGAAUCGAAUAUCGAAUCUGAAACCCUCUGGUUCCGAAGCUGAGACAUUACCAACAGGCCACCGCAACCUCUUAGUGUAUUAUAGAAAACAAUAAUACUCUGCUUCAAAAUAAAUUUCUUAAGAAACA
Argiope bruennichi is the source of this 380-nucleotide long non-coding RNA. RefSeq lists it as uncharacterized. The transcript is spliced from 2 exons. Lineage: Eukaryota; Metazoa; Arthropoda; Arachnida; Araneae; Araneidae. The record is from RefSeq and is a predicted model, not a curated record.